RNAcentral lists this ribosomal RNA (516 nucleotides) under uncultured bacterium. RNAcentral describes it as "partial 16S ribosomal RNA". It matches the Rfam family "Bacterial small subunit ribosomal RNA", at positions 28 to 523 of the family's 1533-position model. The record is from RNAcentral.
GACGAACGCUGGCGGCGUGCCUAACACAUGCAAGUCGAACGGAGUGUUUAUUUAUAAACACUUAGUGGCGAACGGGUGAGUAACGCGUAGACAACCUACCCUCUAGAUGGGGACAACACCGCGAAAGUGGUGCUAAUACCGAAUGUUGUAAUGUUAUUGCAUAAUGAUAUUACUAAAGGUGGCCUCUAUAUAAAAGCUACCGCUAGAAGAUGGGUCUGCGUCUGAUUAGCUAGUUGGUGAGAUAACAGCUCACCAAGGAAAUGAUCAGUAGCCGGUCGUAGAGGAUGAACGGCCACACUGGGACUGAGACACGGCCCAGACUCCUACGGGAGGCAGCAGUGGGGAAUCUUCCGCAAUGGACGAAAGUCUGACGGAGCAACGCCGCGUGAGUGAAGAAGGUUUUCGGAUCGUAAAGCUCUGUCUUCAAGGACGAAUGUAGAUAUUGUGAAUAAUGAUAUUUAAUGACGGUACUUGAGGAGGAAGCCACGGCUAACUACGUGCCAGCCGCCGCCGUAA